UCUUUCGCCUUUUACUAAAGAAUACCGUGUAUUUGUCACUAUAAGCGGCAUACGCCAGUUUUUGGGAAGGGUCUUCUUAGGAGGGCCC
Molecule: small nuclear RNA, 88 nt
Filed under: Cajanus cajan (pigeon pea)
Lineage: Eukaryota; Viridiplantae; Streptophyta; Magnoliopsida; Fabales; Fabaceae
Description: U5 spliceosomal RNA
Rfam family: U5 spliceosomal RNA
About the family: U5 RNA is a component of both types of known spliceosome. The precise function of this molecule is unknown, though it is known that the 5' loop is required for splice site selection and p220 binding, and that both the 3' stem-loop and the Sm site are important for Sm protein binding and cap methylation.
Source: Rfam by way of RNAcentral